Oncorhynchus gorbuscha (pink salmon) is the source of this 338-nucleotide long non-coding RNA. RefSeq lists it as uncharacterized. The record is from RefSeq and is a predicted model, not a curated record. NCBI's taxonomy places the organism in Eukaryota, Metazoa, Chordata, Actinopteri, Salmoniformes, Salmonidae. The transcript has 3 exons.
GCUGUAGUGUCUGUUUGUUAUUCAACUGUAAGAGGUGGGGCAGAAAGAGUAUAAGACAGGACUGCAAGGGGCAGAGAGACACUCGUCUUCUACUGAGGUCCAGAAGACAUCAAGACAACCAGGUAUCAAUCAGUCAGCAUAUUCCAACUAUCAGAGUAAAGGAUGAAGAUCCAGAGUAUGUUACUGCUGUUCGCUCUAGUGGGUGUCCUGUUAGCAAGCUCCCUUAAUGAAGAUAACGCUAAGGAAGAGGAUAGUGCCAUGGAGAAGUUGGAGAAUGGACUUGUGAAUGCCAUUGCAGAAGAUGAAGCACAACGUAUGUACAUAUAGCUAUCUACAUG